GAUGAACGCUGGCGGCGUGCCUAAUACAUGCAAGUCGAGCGAACAGACGAGGAGCUUGCUCCUCUGACGUUAGCGGCGGACGGGUGAGUAACACGUGGAUAACCUACCUAUAAGACUGGGAUAACUUCGGGAAACCGGAGCUAAUACCGGAUAAUAUAUUGAACCGCAUGGUUCAAUAGUUAAAGACGGUUUUGCUGUCACUUAUAGAUGGAUCCGCGCCGCAUUAGCUAGUUGGUAAGGUAACGGCUUACCAAGGCAACGAUGCGUAGCCGACCUGAGAGGGUGAUCGGCCACACUGGAACUGAGACACGGUCCAGACUCCUACGGGAGGCAGCAGUAGGGAAUCUUCCGCAAGGGGCGAAAGCCUGACGGAGCAACGCCGCGUGAGUGAUGAAGGUCUUCGGAUCGUAAAACUCUGUUAUUAGGGAAGAACAAAUGUGUAAGUAACUAUGCACGUCUUGACGGUACCUAAUCAGAAAGCCACGGCUAACUACGUG
RNAcentral lists this ribosomal RNA (497 nucleotides) under uncultured bacterium. RNAcentral describes it as "partial 16S ribosomal RNA". It matches the Rfam family "Bacterial small subunit ribosomal RNA", at positions 28 to 507 of the family's 1533-position model. The record is from RNAcentral.